Molecule: long non-coding RNA, 446 nt
Filed under: Anas platyrhynchos platyrhynchos (common mallard)
Lineage: Eukaryota; Metazoa; Chordata; Aves; Anseriformes; Anatidae
Description: lncRNA (ENSAPLG00000030065.1)
Source: RNAcentral
UCCUUUAGUAUGCAGUAAACCCAAGCCAAUUAAAUGCUUGGAACCUGAGGUUAUUCAGGUGCUAAUUAGAAGCCUCCCAGAGGACAACAUUUGUAUGCAUUAGUGCAGGUGAAGUGGCUGUAACUUCAACUCCUUAUUGUUGCUAUUAGUUUUGCCUGAGACAGUUUGAAAUAAUUAGAUUAAAACCUAGUAGUUAAACAAAACAAAUGUAUACCAACCAGCAAAGUUUAAAGUUAUUGAUGACAGAAUAGCACAUAGUAAAACUUGAAUGGUCUUCAUCACUUAUUCUGAACUCUCCUUUAGAGCUAUUUACAAUUGAUAAUUUAUAUCCUGCUAUUGAGACUUUCUAAUUGAUUUCCUGAGAUCCUGAAGAAAUGCUUACUACUAUUGCAAGAUAUUGUUCUCAGAUAUUCCGUAGACUUUCUACAUACAAAACAGAGAGAUCG